UGGGCCACGGUUUAAAACCGUCGCCUAUAGUAAACACUAUAGGCGACGGUUUUAAACCGUGGCCUAUACUAUAGGCUACGGUUAAAAACCGUGGCCUAUACUAUAGGCCACAGUUUAAAACCGUGGUCUAUAAUGUUGUAGGCACAGGUAAAAACCGUGGCCUUUAGUAUAAGCCA
This is a small nucleolar RNA of Cannabis sativa, 176 nucleotides long. The record is from RefSeq and is a predicted model, not a curated record. Lineage: Eukaryota; Viridiplantae; Streptophyta; Magnoliopsida; Rosales; Cannabaceae.